This 2075-nucleotide long non-coding RNA is filed under the name Nicotiana benthamiana. Its description in RNAcentral is "long non-coding RNA (NBEN_LNC002993)". The record is from RNAcentral. Lineage: Eukaryota; Viridiplantae; Streptophyta; Magnoliopsida; Solanales; Solanaceae.
CUAAUCCAAAUAUAACAAAUCAACUCAACAAAUCCCAUUAUCUAAACCAAACAUACUGUCAUAUUUAAUAUACCAAUCUAAUACUUGUAUCAAACUUGCUAGUUAAUCCAAAGUAGUGAAAGAUUAAUAUGAACUUAUACAAAGAAUUUAAAUAUAAUACGUAAACGAAGUACAUAUUUCCAAAAGAACAAAUGAAAAAAUUGGGGCAGGCAAACUCAUAUGCUCGGAACUAUCGGAAUAUAGAUCAAAGAAGAACUGAUUUAAUUACACAACUAUUGCCAAUUUAAAAGAAUCUGCAAUGGCCAAAUUCAGUUUAGGUUCCUAAAACAAGCUCAUUAAAAGCUGGUCGGUCGCCUAUUAGAAAUAAUGCCAUUUUUGAACUUAAGAACUUGCUUUAUUGAAACAAUUCCAACCUUCAGCUGCAAUUAAACCGAUCAUUACACGAUUUGUAAUCAAAACAAACCACUACUUAGAAUUUCAAAGUAACAUGAAGUAAGCUAUAAGCAAUAUUCUGAAACUAUGAGAUUGAACCCCAGAAUACCGUGUGAUUAACAAGUUGUCUCAUAGGAGGAGGAUUUGACUCUUAAACACUUAGUUAAAACAAACUAUUACCUCAAAAGUCCAAUUUCUGAAACACUGAAAUCCAGAACUCAAACAGAGAUUAAAAGGCAAACUAAAAAUAUACAUGUAGCACUUACCAUUAAUAUAAGAAAUAGGUAAAGUUGUCCAAUCAUUUUAGUGCACCAUGUAUUUGAAAAUUGAUGCAACAGUAUAAUGCUUUCACAUUUACUUUAUACACUCAAAUCUAGAGGAACCAUUACUAUGAACGGAUGUUGAGUUUCUAAUAGCCAAUGCUUUAACUCUUUCUAAUUGAGAAGGCUACUGGAAAGAACAGAUACGGGGUAGAAAAUUUGGGUACCCAAGUUAGAUGAAGUAAUGUUGUUAUCCUUAAACAUGACCACAUGAAUGAACGGGGAGAAUAAGUCAAAUGAAGAAUAGCUCCCUUAAAUUCUAGAGAAAAGGAAGAUAUCUCGCCUUCAACACACAUUCAAAAACCUCUAACAUAUAGUCAAGCUACUUUUCGUAAGUAGCUGGAGAAGUAAAAGGCAAAUGUACACUAUCAAACUCAAACUUUCUCUAAUUGAACAAAUAACAAGAUUAUGCCUAUUUUCAGAUUCAAACAGUGACAUUCAAAAUAAAAAUCUCAUACCGGAAAAAUAAUGUGAUAAGAAUUUUUCGAAAGAAAACUAGACACAUACCUUGAAGAAUCUCAAGAAAUUCAAAAACGAAAAAAACUGUCUGUUUGAAACAAGAGCGAGCACAACUUCAAUAACAAAAUCUUUCCUUUGUUUGCAAGCACCUCCAAAGCAAUUACAGUAGAUGGAAUUGAAUUGAAAGGACUCCAAACUCAAACGCAGAUGCAACAGCACAGAAUUCCAGCCUUGAGGAGUAACGAGCAAAGCAAAUCCCAGUACUUCUACCCGAGAUGAUGUUCCAGAAAUCCAAAAAAUAAUAAUAAAAGUGGCAAUACUCAAACAAUUUCAAAACUCCUGCUUCUAUCUCUUUUGGUAUGAAAAUUCGAACAAAGAAAUAAAAACUUAGAUCAUUUUUAUUUCUUCUUCUUCGUUUUACUGAAAAAAAUGUAGACUAAGAAGAGGCCUGAAGAGAAGGAAGAAAUUUCAAAACCCUAGAAAUUUUACCACUCUUUUCUGAAAACUAUUCCUAGAUUUUUAUCCCAUUUUUUCUUCUAACCUAGCAAAGAAAUUACCUCAUAAAUAUAGCCUUCAAAGAUCUCAAAUCUUCACAUUUUUGAAUGAUUUUUGGGACAAAAGGAAGGCGUGGAUCGAUUUACAUCUAUCCACAUCUCCCAUUCAUCCAGCAAAUCAUUCCUAUAGUACAGAAAUCGUGCGAUUUUGAGAGAAUAUUCGUAUUUUUCUGACAAAACCCGUUGGGAAUCAAAUGACAAUUGAGUGAACUCGCCUAAGUUCCAGGCGAGUUGAGGGCUAAGUCGAUGGUUGAAAAAGAUGAACAAUAAUGAGGCUCGGUUUCUGUGUGCUCUAGAUGUAGAGUUUGAG